RNAcentral lists this ribosomal RNA (434 nucleotides) under Funneliformis mosseae. RNAcentral describes it as "eukaryotic LSU rRNA". It matches the Rfam family "Eukaryotic large subunit ribosomal RNA", at positions 1 to 428 of the family's 3401-position model. The record is from RNAcentral. Lineage: Eukaryota; Fungi; Glomeromycota; Glomeromycetes; Glomerales; Glomeraceae.
GACCUCAAAUCAGGUAAGAAUACCCGCUGAACUUAAGCAUAUCAAUAAGCGGAGGAAAAGAAAAUAACAAUGAUUCCUUCAGUAACGGCGAGCGAAGAGGGAUAAGCUCAAAUUUUAAAUCUGUUGGGUUCCACUUAACAGAGUUGUAUUUUGAAGAAACGUUUUCUGCAUCCAGGAUUAGCCUAAAUCCUUUGGGAUAAGGUAUCAUGGAGGGUGAGAAUCCCGUUCAUGGUUAAUCUUAAGGAAGCUCUACGAUACGUUUUCCAAGAGUCGAGUUGUUUGGGAUUGCAGCUCAAAAUGGGAGGUAAAUUUCUCCUAAGGCUAAAUAUUGGCGAGAGACCGAUAGCGAACAAGUACCGUGAGGGAGAGAUGAAAAGAACUUUGAAAAGAGAGUUAAACAGUACGUGAAAUUGUUGAAAGGGAAACGAUUGAAG